AAGACACCCCUAUGGGGCGUAAACUCCUUUUUUGCGCGAAGAAACCCCUGUUGUUCAGGGCGUGACGGUACCGCAGGAAUAAGGACCGGCUAACUCCGUGCCAGCAGCCGCGGUAAUACGGAGGGUCCAAGCGUUGUCCGGAAUCCCUGGGCGUAAAGGGUGUGCAGGUGGGGCAGCAAGUCAGAGGUGAAAGCCCGUGGCUUAACCCCGGACGUGCCUUUGAAACUGCUGCUCUUGAGUCCCGGAGAGGUUGCCGGAAUUCGUGGUGUAGCGGUGAAAUGCGUAGAUAUCACGAGGAACCCCAGAGGCGAAAGCGGGCAACUGGACGGGUACUGACACUGAGGCACGAAAGCGUGGGGAGCAAACAGGAUUAGAUACCCUGGUAGUCCGCGCCGUAAACGAUGGAUGCUCGCCGUUACCUCGCUCAAGGGGUAGUGGCUAAGCUAACGCG
This 451-nucleotide ribosomal RNA is filed under the name uncultured bacterium. RNAcentral's name for it is "bacterial SSU rRNA". It matches the Rfam family "Bacterial small subunit ribosomal RNA", at positions 408 to 859 of the family's 1533-position model. The record is from RNAcentral.